GGGUGUGAGCACGAUCUGGCUGCCACAUCUGUCACCCUAUUGACCUCCAGCGUUGGUACAGCUGAUCUGGCUGGGUAGGUGGGUGUCCCCUUCCUCCCUCCCUGCUCCAUAUGCGUCCUCCCGAAGCUCGGUCGAGGAGGCCAGCGUUCCCUGAUAGAGGAAGUCAGGGGUAUAUGAGUAGCUACGCUCCCCUGCAAGAGCCUCCAGACAAGCUCUGAGUCCAUUUGUAGGAGAAUGUAGGGUAGUCAAGCUUCCAAGACUCUAGACACAUCCAAAUAAGGCACUACAUAUGGCAGUCUGCCUUUCUUC
RNAcentral lists this small nuclear RNA (309 nucleotides) under Ailuropoda melanoleuca (giant panda). RNAcentral describes it as "7SK RNA". It matches the Rfam family "7SK RNA". From Rfam's summary of the family: 7SK was discovered as an abundant small nuclear RNA in the mid-70s but a possible function has only recently been suggested. Two independent studies have found that 7SK RNA binds the CDK9/cyclin T complex (known as elongation factor P-TEFb). P-TEFb activates transcription by phosphorylating the C-terminal domain of RNA polymerase II. Lineage: Eukaryota; Metazoa; Chordata; Mammalia; Carnivora; Ursidae. The record is from Rfam by way of RNAcentral.